Catharus ustulatus (Swainson's thrush) is the source of this 616-nucleotide long non-coding RNA. RefSeq lists it as uncharacterized. The record is from RefSeq and is a predicted model, not a curated record. The transcript is spliced from 5 exons. Lineage: Eukaryota; Metazoa; Chordata; Aves; Passeriformes; Turdidae.
GCUCCGGGACCGCUCGGGGCCGAGCUCGGGGCCGGGCUCCCGCCUUCUCACAGCAACUUCACGGCGGCCUCGGAGUUCCCCCUCGGGGCUCCAGCACUGGAGCUAGCGGAGCCCCGGCGGGAGCUGCGCCGCACAGCCCCGGAGCGGCGCAGAGAGGGCUGGCCACGGGCGCACUCCUCGGGGCUGCGGGGAGCAGGAAGCAAACGGAAGCAUUACUUGACUCUGUGACCAACAUGUAAUUUUCUGCACCAGAAGACAAGAAAGAAACAGCAGUUGUUAACAAAUAAGCCAUGCCUGUUGCAGCUGAUGUAACUGUGGGGGACCUGCCUGUGAGACAUGCAGGUCUAGCACCAGCUGGAAUUGAAGGAUUACAAGAGUCAAGAACUGCACAGAAUAUAAAAGCUCAACAAGCUAAGUAACAAAUCAGUCAAAAAGACCUGGAGGACAGAUUUCUUCGUGUACAUGAUGAUCACUUCUUACUCAAUCAGCAUAGAAAUGAACAAGAGGAGAGAACUGAAAGCAUUCCUCGCCAAAACCCUUUUAACUAGAAGUUUGGAAUGAAUUUGCAGUGGAAGAGCAUUGAAAAAACUCCACGUAAACAAAAAACCUGCUUACA